GAUGAACGCUGGCGGCGUGCUUAACACAUGCAAGUCGAACGAUGAAGCCCAGCUUGCUGGGUGGAUUAGUGGCGAACGGGUGAGUAACACGUGAGUAACCUGCCCUUAACUCUGGGAUAAGCCUGGGAAACUGGGUCUAAUACCGGAUAGGAGCGUCCACCGCAUGGUGGGUGUUGGAAAGAUUUAUCGGUUUUGGAUGGACUCGCGGCCUAUCAGCUUGUUGGUGAGGUAAUGGCUCACCAAGGCGACGACGGGUAGCCGGCCUGAGAGGGUGACCGGCCACACUGGGACUGAGACACGGCCCAGACUCCUACGGGAGGCAGCAGUGGGGAAUAUUGCACAAUGGGCGAAAGCCUGAUGCAGCGACGCCGCGUGAGGGAUGACGGCCUUCGGGUUGUAAACCUCUUUCAGUAGGGAAGAAGCGAAAGUGACGGUACCUGCAGAAGAAGCACCGGCUAACUACGUGCCAGCAGCCGCGGUAAUACGUAGGGUGCGAGCGUUAUCCGGAAUUAUUGGGCGUAAAGAGCUCGUAGGCGGUUUGUCGCGUCUGUCGUGAAAGUCCGGGGCUUAACCCCGGAUCUGCGGUGGGUACGGGCAGACUAGAGUGCAGUAGGGGAGACUGGAAUUCCUGGUGUAGCGGUGGAAUGCGCAGAUAUCAGGAGGAACACCGAUGGCGAAGGCAGGUCUCUGGGCUGUAACUGACGCUGAGGAGCGAAAGCAUGGGGAGCGAACAGGAUUAGAUACCCUAGUAGUCCAUGCCGUAAACGUUGGGCACUAGGUGUGGGGACCAUUCCACGGUUUCCGUGCCGCAGCUAACGCAUUAAGUGCCCCGCCUGGGGAGUACGGCCGCAAGGCUAAAACUCAAAGGAAUUGACGGGGGCCCGCACAAGCGGCGGAGCAUGCGGAUUAAUUCGAUGCAACGCGAAGAACCUUACCAAGGCUUGACAUGUUCUCGAUCGCCGUAGAGAUACGGUUUCCCCUUUGGGGCGGGUUCACAGGUGGUGCAUGGUUGUCGUCAGCUCGUGUCGUGAGAUGUUGGGUUAAGUCCCGCAACGAGCGCAACCCUCGUUCCAUGUUGCCAGCACGUCGUGGUGGGGACUCAUGGGAGACUGCCGGGGUCAACUCGGAGGAAGGUGAGGACGACAUCAAAUCAUCAUGCCCCUUAUGUCUUGGGCUUCACGCAUGCUACAAUGGCCGGUACAAUGGGUUGCGAUACUGUGAGGUGGAGCUAAUCCCAAAAAGCCGGUCUCAGUUCGGAUUGGGGUCUGCAACUCGACCCCAUGAAGUCGGAGUCGCUAGUAAUCGCAGAUCAGCAACGCUGCGGUGAAUACGUUCCCGGGCCU
This 1343-nucleotide ribosomal RNA is filed under the name uncultured bacterium. Its description in RNAcentral is "bacterial SSU rRNA". It matches the Rfam family "Bacterial small subunit ribosomal RNA", at positions 28 to 1381 of the family's 1533-position model. The record is from RNAcentral.